RNAcentral lists this ribosomal RNA (406 nucleotides) under uncultured bacterium. Its description in RNAcentral is "partial 16S ribosomal RNA". It matches the Rfam family "Bacterial small subunit ribosomal RNA", at positions 30 to 526 of the family's 1533-position model. The record is from RNAcentral.
AUUGAACGCUGGCGGCCGGCCUAACACAUGCAAGUCGAACGAGUGGCGGACGGGUGAGUAAUGUCUGAGAAACCGCCUGAUGGAGGGGGAUAACUACUGGAAACGGUAGCUAAUACCGCAUACCAUCGGAUGUGCCCAGAUGGGAUUAGCUUGUUGGUGGGGUAACGGCUCACCAAGGCGACGAUCCCUAGCUGGUCUGAGAGGAUGACUAGACACACUGGAAGUGAGACACGGUCCAGAUUCCAAAGUGAGGCAGGAGGGGGGAAUAUUGGACAAUGGGCGCAAGCCUGAUGCAGCCAUGCCGCGUGUAGGAAGAAGGCCUUCGGGUUGUAAAGUACUUUCAGCGGGGAGGCGUUACCCGCAGAAGAAGCACCGGCUAACUCCGUGCCAGCAGCCGCGGUAAUAC